UACGUAGGUGGCAAGCGUUGUCCGGAAUUAUUGGGCGUAAAGCGCGCGCAGGCGGUUCUUUUAGUCUGAUGUGAAAGCCCACGGCUCAACCGUGGGGGGUCAUUGGAAACUGGAGAACUUGAGUACAGAAGAGGAAAGCGGAAUUCCACGUGUAGCGGUGAAAUGCGUAGAGAUGUGGAGGAACACCAGUGGCGAAGGCGGCUUUCUGGUCUGUAACUGACGCUGAGGCGCGAAAGCGUGGGGAGCAAACAGG
This 253-nucleotide ribosomal RNA is filed under the name uncultured bacterium. RNAcentral describes it as "partial 16S ribosomal RNA". It matches the Rfam family "Bacterial small subunit ribosomal RNA", at positions 524 to 776 of the family's 1533-position model. The record is from RNAcentral.